CUUUCUUUGCUGGCGACCGGCGCACGGGUGAGUAACACGUAUCCAACCUGCCUCAUACUCGGGGAUAGCCUUUCGAAAGAAAGAUUAAUAUCCGAUAGCAUAUAUUUCCCGCAUGGGUUUUAUAUUAAAGAAAUUCGGUAUGAGAUGGGGAUGCGUUCCAUUAGUUUGUUGGGGGGGUAACGGCCCACCAAGACUACGAUGGAUAGGGGUUCUGAGAGGAAGGUCCCCCACAUUGGAACUGAGACACGGUCCAA
This 254-nucleotide ribosomal RNA is filed under the name uncultured bacterium. Its description in RNAcentral is "partial 16S ribosomal RNA". It matches the Rfam family "Bacterial small subunit ribosomal RNA", at positions 79 to 334 of the family's 1533-position model. The record is from RNAcentral.